GCAGAGUGGAACAUGGCGGCCUCCUUGCCGCUUGCGUUACCAGAGUCCACCCGGCCUCGUGCUUUCUCCGGGCGCCCGUAGCUGGCGCCGGCAUCCACAAAAAUAGAUCAGACCCUGAGAGCCUACUGACCACAGCAGCUCCUGUUACCACGGCUGCCGUUUCUGCUCUCAAUGCUACUGCUCAUUGAUCCCAGGGAGGAAAAUUCUGGUGCAUCACUUAGUAUUUAUUUCAGAUUUCAACCAAAACAACAUAUUGCAAGAUUGAAUGCAGAAGUAGAUGUGAGAACUCAUUCUAUUAAGCCAAGCGUAAAUGUUUAAAAAUGUAAAAUAAUACCACUCUUCUGAUAUGUUUUGGGAGAAAAUAUGUUUGUGGAAAAUAUACCUAUCAAAGAAAUAUCAGAAACCUUCCAAACUGAAGGACAUGUGUAUCCAGAUUAAAAUGACCUUCCAAAUGCUUAACAUAGUAAACAAAAAACAGGAGGAAAAGGAGGGGAGAAAAGAAAAAAAGAAGACUCACACAAGGCCGUGUUACGACAUUUCAUCAUACCAUAGAUAAAUCAGAUCCUGAAAGAUUUCAGAAAGGAAUAUGAGAUCACACAUAAAGGAACAGGAAUCAAAAUGACAUUACCCUUCUCAACAACACUGGAAGCUCCAAGAGAGUGCAGCAAUGCUUUCAUCCUCAGAGAAAAUAAUUAUCAAUACAAAAUAAUAUUCCCAGCUAAGCUAUCAAUCAUGAGGGUAGAAGAAAGGCAUUUUUAGCCAUUGCGUGGGAGUGCUAUAAUAAUGGUCCCAGUGAACCACACCUCCC
This 808-nucleotide long non-coding RNA is filed under the name Homo sapiens (human). RNAcentral's name for it is "SDCBP2 antisense RNA 1". The record is from RNAcentral. Lineage: Eukaryota; Metazoa; Chordata; Mammalia; Primates; Hominidae.